RNAcentral lists this transfer RNA (90 nucleotides) under Phycisphaerae bacterium SM23_33. RNAcentral describes it as "tRNA-Ser". It matches the Rfam family "tRNA". Rfam says of the family: Transfer RNA (tRNA) molecules are approximately 80 nucleotides in length. Their secondary structure includes four short double-helical elements and three loops (D, anti-codon, and T loops). The record is from RNAcentral. RNAcentral also lists the same sequence under 1 other name. Lineage: Bacteria; Pseudomonadati; Planctomycetota; Phycisphaerae.
GGAGAGGUGCCAGAGCGGUUGAAUGGGCCGGUCUCGAAAACCGGUGUCCCGAUGCCUUCGGGACCGCGGGUUCGAAUCCCGCCCUCUCCG